GUGGACCAGGGCGUCUGCUCAGGACAGAGGCUCCCCUGGCCCUGCUCUGGGUCCUCCGCCUUCUUUCUCCAAGCCGGCUUCCCAGGCCAGGGGUGGAAGCCCCGUGAGACCGAGGACUUUCCCCCUCGUGGGGUGCCUGGGGAGCACCCACACCAGUGGCCCAUUUGGGGAUCCCUCCCUGCCUUCUGCCCCUCACAGGCACUCGCCCUGGAGAAGCCGCAGCCCGGUGCUUGGAGACACGCCUGGACCUUUCAGGGCUCGGACUGUGCACUUGGCUCUGGGAGGAACGUGCCCGCUCGGGGUCAGCCUCCCUGAGGCUGGAAGCAAGGGACAGAUGCCCAGGCCGGAACCGGAACCGCUGGGUCCAGCAGCCCAGCCGCCCGAGGCACAGGCGCCACCCGCCAAUAGCCACAAGAGCGCCCUGCGGAGACCUCGAUGCUGCUCACGCCGAGCCCCCCACCGAGAGAAGCCUGGAGCGGCCCCCUGAACCCUGGGCACCAGGUCCGUGACUGAACGCCCCCCAGCCUCGCGGAGCCUCGGCUCCUUGGAAAAGGGGGGCCGGACUAGAACUGCCUGGGGGGCUCCCAGCACGGAAGGACGCGUGGAGAGGACACCUGGAUCCUGCCUGGGGCUCCAGAGACACUCACCUCCGUGGGGCCGGGGCUGGCCGCCGCCUAGUUCCGAGCGCGUGGGGACCGCCCGGGACACAGGCUGCAGCAGCUGGCCUGGGGGCUGUGCUCGCGGGCGGCUCUGGCCGGCUUCUGCCUGGGCCUCCGCUUGGGCCGGCGCUCAGGCUGGGCCGGGGGCUGAGCCGGCAGAGAGGCAACGAUCGGGGGCUGGGGGUCUGAAUCCGCCUCCGCCGCCUCCUCCAGGGGCUCCGCGGUGACCCUUCGGCCCCUGGGGAAACAUCAAGGUGGUCUUCUUUAAAACAAAUGCCCCUGAGCCAGAGCCCUGGGCCCCUCUACUGCCCUGGCUGUUGGGGGGGGGGGGCUUCAGGUCACCCCAUCAGGGUUUUGGGGGGUGGCUCCCCUGCCUGUCACUCUGGCUGCUGAGCUCUCCCUUUGCCAAGUACAAGGGCAGGGACCUGGCCCACAGCUCACCCGGGGUGGGAGACCUCCUGUCGGACAGGAGACCCUGCCUGGGCGUGGGGUGGGGGCUGGACACACAGGGCCCAUCUCGGGGAAUCACAGCACAUAACGUGAGACCCCCCCUUCCACUCCCAGCAACCCCACCAUGGGUGGAAGCACAGAGGGGCUAGGCACAAAGCAGAGGGCAGGCUCCCACUGGGAAGGCUGCCAGGGCAGGGCAGUGGGCUCCUGGGGGGAAGGACCCUCCUGCCCACAACCCGCACCCUGGGUGGACAGGGCAGCACUGAACGCAGUGUGCAGACGGCACACUGGGGGGCAGGGAGAAGCUGGACACUGCCUUGGGUGUGAGGGACACUGCUCCUCCAUCAUGAGGGUCUAUAGCAUGGGGAGCUCUCCAGUAUGCCUGGGAGGUGCAGGGGAUGGAAGAGGGGAACUUGACUUUUUAAAUGGUAUAAAAAACAAAAAAUGCUUCAAAA
Miniopterus natalensis is the source of this 1564-nucleotide non-coding RNA. Lineage: Eukaryota; Metazoa; Chordata; Mammalia; Chiroptera; Miniopteridae. The record is from RefSeq and is a predicted model, not a curated record.